RNAcentral lists this transfer RNA (72 nucleotides) under Camelus bactrianus (Bactrian camel). It matches the Rfam family "tRNA". From Rfam's summary of the family: Transfer RNA (tRNA) molecules are approximately 80 nucleotides in length. Their secondary structure includes four short double-helical elements and three loops (D, anti-codon, and T loops). Lineage: Eukaryota; Metazoa; Chordata; Mammalia; Artiodactyla; Camelidae. The record is from Rfam by way of RNAcentral. RNAcentral also lists the same sequence under 1 other name.
GAGGAUAUAGCUCAGUAGUAGAGUGAAUGACUAGCAUGCACAAGGUCUUGGGUUCAAUCCCCAGUACCUCCA